This 253-nucleotide ribosomal RNA is filed under the name uncultured bacterium. RNAcentral's name for it is "partial 16S ribosomal RNA". It matches the Rfam family "Bacterial small subunit ribosomal RNA", at positions 524 to 776 of the family's 1533-position model. The record is from RNAcentral.
UACGAAGGGGGCUAGCGUUGUUCGGAAUUACUGGGCGUAAAGCGUGCGCAGGCGGCUUCUCAAGUCAGGGGUGGAAGCCCAGAGCUCAACUCUGGAACUGCCUUUGAGACUGAGUGGCUUGAGUACGAGAGAGGUGAGUGGAAUUCCCAGUGUAGAGGUGAAAUUCGUAGAUAUUGGGAAGAACACCGGUGGCGAAGGCGGCUCACUGGCUCGUAACUGACGCUCAUGCACGACAGCGUGGGGAUCAAACAGG